CUGCUCAGACAAUUUCUCUGUAUUCCCCCCAGACUACCUGUCCUUGCUUCCACUCUCUGCAGGCUUCUUUUUUUGUGUUUGAUUUUGGCCAGAAGCUCCUUGUUCAUCCAUGCAGGCCUCCUGGCAUUUUUGCCUGACUACUUGUUUGUCAGGAUGCAUCGAUCUUGAGCUUGGAGGAAGUGAACCUUAAAUAUUAACCAGCUUUCUUGGGCCCCUCUUCUCUCCAGGGCUUUGUCCCUUGGUACUCUACCAAGCAGAUCCUUGAAAAGGCCAAAGUCUGCUCCCCCAAGGUCUAGGGUAGCGAGCUUGCUGUACUCUGUUAUCACAUUCCAGGAACAUUCCAGGAACUUCCUGGAUUACCUGUGCCCUAUUGUGAUGUCCCUCCAACAGAUAUUGGGGUGGUUGAAGUCCCCCAUGAGGACCAGGACUUGUGAACUUUAGGGUGCUCUUAUCUGCAGAGGGUCUCAUCCACUCAUCCACUCAUUCUUCCUGGCAUUGCCACCACCACUUUAUGUGGUCAUUUUGCCACUUUGUCACCUCUCUCAUCUGUUUUACUUUUUCCUGCUUCAUCUUGACAAGUCACUUGAGGGGGUCCAUAUCUCUGGAGAUUUACAUGUGUUUUCCUGACAAACAAAGACAAUCUUAUGUGAUUUCUGCUCCAGAGGAUGUGAGAGAAGGUUCAUAUUGCUGCCAUUGGGAAAAUAUAUGAAGAUUAGUUUCCAGUUUGAUUUGCUUAUAUGGUGUGCCAAAUCCUUGUGAACUCCUACACUGGCUGUUUUUAUAGUUACCAAAGCAGUGGCAUCCUUAUUGUUUUUAUUACUAAGAAGAAAAUUUGUUUUUACAAAUACAUUACCAGUCUAUGUGUAUGUUUCUGUAAUGCACUUCUGAACAUACAAUUGUAACAAAUUUUAACAAACCUAGUUAUAUACCAAUAUAUAAGAAAUAUGGAUUGCAAUACAGAUAUAUGAGCAUGAUAUUUUUCCAUUUACAUAGGUUGUACACAUUUGUCAGUCUGGCUUUUUUUUUUUUUUCCCCAUCAGAUUUUUAAUCAGAUAUUCCUGAUUUGCUACUUAAAUUCUUGCUCAAAAAGUUAAUUGAAUAGAUCUAUUUAUUUAUUUAUUUAUUUAUUUCCUGAUAACAUUUUAGGAUACUAAUGUAACUGUUAUAACCACAAAUGAAUUUAGUUGUAUCUCUGGAAAGAUUUGUUUCUUGGAAUGGUUUCAAUUAACAUCUCUGUACUUCCUGCCUCCUGUACUUUCCCCUUUAUUGAGAGAUGCUAUCUCAUCUUUACGCCUACCAGUGAGAAAAAGGUAAGUAUUUGAUUUUAAGUUUUAAAUGAACCUAAGUAAUUGGUCACAGUAGAUUUAUCUUAAAGACAUUUUUCAGUUCAAUUGAAAUAUUGACUUUUGUGAAGCGAAAAGCUCAUUUUGCAUACCUGAGAUCUCAGCAAGUUUUUAAAAGUCUCUAGACAGGUAUUAACUGCAGGAUAGAGACAUGUUGCUUCUAUAUACACAAUAAAGUGACAUACACAGAAUUUUUCA
RNAcentral lists this long non-coding RNA (1541 nucleotides) under Anser cygnoides (Swan goose). RNAcentral's name for it is "lncRNA (ENSACDG00005001885.1)". The record is from RNAcentral. Lineage: Eukaryota; Metazoa; Chordata; Aves; Anseriformes; Anatidae.